RNAcentral lists this long non-coding RNA (609 nucleotides) under Phoenix dactylifera (date palm). RNAcentral's name for it is "long non-coding RNA (PDAC_LNC005620)". Lineage: Eukaryota; Viridiplantae; Streptophyta; Magnoliopsida; Arecales; Arecaceae. The record is from RNAcentral.
AAUAUGAAUCCACAAAGAAAAAUUAAUUUUUUGUAAAGAUUUAAUUUACGUGUUAGUAUUGUAUGUAAGCUUAUUUUCUGCAUAUUAUUAUUUAUUUGAUUGUUUGAUUUAUUUAGCUAAAGUGAUCAUUGCUUAUUGGACCAUCUAGCUCAGUAUUCGACUUUUUAUUUUUGUUUACAGCUUCAAAGGACUAACCUAAUCGGAAUUCUAAUAUUAUAGAGUGACUAGCAGAACUUUAGCAUAGAUUAUCGUAGAUUAGAGUUUAUUUAAGUUGAUGUGUUACUUUAGAACAUGGUUAGAAUUAUGAGACUUAAAUUUUAUUUGACAGUUGGAUUUGUUAUUUAAAUUAUUUCUACUGCCUGAUUAUGAUAUCAUGAUGAGAAGCCUUACAUGCCUGGUGAGAGAAUUUUCUACGAGUAUGCGGUGGUUGCUGCGAUCCUCAGGCUUGUGAUCUUGGGUCGGGGGGCGUAAUAUUAUGCCAGACCAGUUUUGAAGCAAAGAUGAAACAAAAGAAUCUUGUUACUGGAUUGGGAAUGAUUUGGGGAGCAGUAUGUUUUGAUCAAUGGAAAUGCCCUCACACACACAUUUUAGAGGGAAGUAAACUAAAAU